UACGUAGGUGGCAAGCGUUGUCCGGAUUUACUGGGCGUAAAGAGCGCGCAGGCGGUCGUUCAAGUCGGAUGUGAAAGCCCCCGGCUCAACUGGGGAGGGUCAUUCGAUACUGAUCGACUCGAAGGCAGGAGAGGGAAGCGGAAUUCCCGGUGUAGUGGUGAAAUGCGUAGAUAUCGGGAGGAACACCAGAGGCGAAGGCGGCUUCCUGGCCUGUUCUUGACGCUGAGGCGCGAAAGCCAGGGGAGCGAACGGGAUUAGAAACCCUCGUAGUCC
This 273-nucleotide ribosomal RNA is filed under the name uncultured bacterium. Its description in RNAcentral is "partial 16S ribosomal RNA". It matches the Rfam family "Bacterial small subunit ribosomal RNA", at positions 524 to 796 of the family's 1533-position model. The record is from RNAcentral.